RNAcentral lists this ribosomal RNA (424 nucleotides) under Fusobacteriota bacterium. RNAcentral's name for it is "Fusobacteria bacterium partial 16S ribosomal RNA". It matches the Rfam family "Bacterial small subunit ribosomal RNA", at positions 355 to 776 of the family's 1533-position model. Lineage: Bacteria; Fusobacteriati; Fusobacteriota. The record is from RNAcentral.
UGAGGAAUAUUGGUCAAUGGGCGAGAGCCUGAACCAGCCAAGUAGCGUGCAGGAUGACGGCCCUAUGGGUUGUAAACUGCUUUUAUGUGGGGAUAAAGUGCGUGACGUGUCGUGCAUUGCAGGUACCACAUGAAUAAGGACCGGCUAAUUCCGUGCCAGCAGCCGCGGUAAUACGGAAGGUCCGGGCGUUAUCCGGAUUUAUUGGGUUUAAAGGGAGCGUAGGCUGUCUAUUAAGCGUGUUGUGAAAUUUACCGGCUCAACCGGUGGCUUGCAGCGCGAACUGGUCGACUUGAGUAUGCAGGAAGUAGGCGGAAUUCAUGGUGUAGCGGUGAAAUGCUUAGAUAUCAUGACGAACUCCGAUUGCGCAGGCAGCUUACUGUAGCAUAACUGACGCUGAUGCUCGAAAGUGCGGGUAUCAAACAGG